AUUGAACGCUGGCGGCAGGCCUAACUCAUGCAAGUCGAGCGGAUGAAGGGAGCUUGCUCCUGGAUUCAGCGGCGGACGGGUGAGUAAUGCCUAGGAAUCUGCCUGGUAGUGGGGGAUAACGUCCGGAAACGGGCGCUAAUACCGCAUACGUCCUGAGGGAGAAAGUGGGGGAUCUUCGGACCUCACGCUAUCAGAUGAGCCUAGGUCGGAUUAGCUAGUUGGUGGGGUAAAGGCCUACCAAGGCGACGAUCCGUAACUGGUCUGAGAGGAUGAUCAGUCACACUGAAACUGAGACACGGUCCAGACUCCUACUGGAGGCAGCAGUGGGGAAUAUUGGACAAAGGGCGAAAGCCUGAUCCAGCCAUGCCGCGUGUGUGAAGAAGGUCUUCGGAUUGUUAAGCACUUUAAGUUGGGAGGAAGGGCAGUAAGUUAAUACCUUGCUGUUUUGACGUUACCAACAGAAUAAGCACCGGCUAACUUCGUG
This 484-nucleotide ribosomal RNA is filed under the name uncultured bacterium. RNAcentral describes it as "partial 16S ribosomal RNA". It matches the Rfam family "Bacterial small subunit ribosomal RNA", at positions 30 to 507 of the family's 1533-position model. The record is from RNAcentral.